ACCCACACCCGAAACCCAUACACCCACCCAAAAUAUUUUAUAAUUACCUAAUUAUCCCCAUAGUCUCCCUCAAUUUCCUUGGAAGACUUUAAAUUUUAGUUGUAAUUUAAUUUCUUGAAAGUCUAUGUUGUAAUUUCUUGAAAGUCUAUGUUUGAAUUUCCUUGGAAGACCUUAAUUUUAGUUGUAAUUUAAUUCAAAGUCUAUGUUGGAAUUUAAU
This 217-nucleotide long non-coding RNA is filed under the name Trifolium pratense (red clover). RNAcentral's name for it is "long non-coding RNA (TPRA_LNC003139)". Lineage: Eukaryota; Viridiplantae; Streptophyta; Magnoliopsida; Fabales; Fabaceae. The record is from RNAcentral.